UACGAGGGGGGCAAGUGUUGUUCGGAAUCACUGGGCGUAAAGGGCGCGUAGGCGGAUGUUUAAGUCGGGUGUUUAAAACCGGGGCCCAACCCCGGAGCGGCACCCGAAACUGGGCAUCUUGAAUAGGUCAGAGGCUGGUGGAAUUGGAGGUGUAGCGGUGGAAUGCGUAGAGAUCUCCAAGAACACCUAUUGCGAAGGCAGCCAGCUGGGACCAUAUUGACGCUGAGGCUCGAAAGCAUGGGGAGCAAACAGG
Molecule: ribosomal RNA, 253 nt
Filed under: uncultured bacterium
Lineage: Bacteria
Description: partial 16S ribosomal RNA
Rfam family: Bacterial small subunit ribosomal RNA
Source: RNAcentral